UCCGGACAUCGGGUACCAUUGCUAGAUGGUCACUUAGAUUAGUACAAGAAUUGGUUCCUAUGCUACCAGCUUAGGUUCGAACCUGCGGGGUCACACACAUUAGAGGUUCCUAUCUGAUCUGAUGGCUGGUGUAGAAUCCUACAUGUUUGAGACUCACUGAUCGAGAAUCAGGAUUCUCUGAUCACGAGUUUCACACAUUAUGGGUACCAGGGUCAAGAGUCCCAUUGGUUGGGACUUUUCGAUCAGGGUUACAUAUCGAUGAAUUCUGAUGCCCGAUUGCCCAUCGAAUUUGGAGUCAAUAUUUAUGAGAAAUUUAAUUAGUGAUUUGAUCGCUAAUUAACUCAAUUUGAUUGAGUAAUUAUUUUUUUGAUCAAGUCCAAUUGAAUUGGAUUC
RNAcentral lists this long non-coding RNA (393 nucleotides) under Elaeis guineensis (African oil palm). Its description in RNAcentral is "long non-coding RNA (EGUI_LNC061430)". Lineage: Eukaryota; Viridiplantae; Streptophyta; Magnoliopsida; Arecales; Arecaceae. The record is from RNAcentral.